RNAcentral lists this ribosomal RNA (449 nucleotides) under uncultured bacterium. RNAcentral describes it as "partial 16S ribosomal RNA". It matches the Rfam family "Bacterial small subunit ribosomal RNA", at positions 338 to 795 of the family's 1533-position model. The record is from RNAcentral.
CCUACGGGCGGCUGCAGUGGGGAAUUUUGGACAAUGGGCGCAAGCCUGAUCCAGCCAUUCCGCGUGAGUGAAGAAGGCCUUCGGGUUGUAAAGCUCUUUCGCAAGGGAAGAAAACUUAUCCUCUAACAUAGGAUGAGGUUGACGGUACCUUGAGAAGAAGCACCGGCUAACUACGUGCCAGCAGCCGCGGUAAUACGUAGGGAACGAGCGUGCAUCGGAAUUACUGGGCGUAAUUCGUAAGCAGGCUGUGAAAUCCCCGAGCUCAACUUGGGAACUGCGUUUGAAACUACUAGACUAGAGUACGUCAGAGGGGGGUAGAAUUCCACGUGUAGCAGUGAAAUGCGUAGAGAUGUGGAGGAAUAUCAAUGGCGAAGGCAGCCCCCUGGGAUCAUAUUGACGCUCAUGCACGAAAGCGUGGGGAGCAAACAGGAUUAGAUACCCGUGUAGUC